GGGGGCGUAGCUCACAUGGUAGAGCGCUCGCUUUGCAUGCGAGAGGUACCGGGAUCGAUGCCCGGCGCCUCCA
This 73-nucleotide transfer RNA is filed under the name Solenopsis invicta (red fire ant). RNAcentral's name for it is "tRNA-Ala". It matches the Rfam family "tRNA". Rfam says of the family: Transfer RNA (tRNA) molecules are approximately 80 nucleotides in length. Their secondary structure includes four short double-helical elements and three loops (D, anti-codon, and T loops). Further hydrogen bonds mediate the characteristic L-shaped molecular structure. tRNAs have two regions of fundamental functional importance: the anti-codon, which is responsible for specific mRNA codon recognition, and the 3' end, to which the tRNAs corresponding amino acid is attached (by aminoacyl-tRNA synthetases). tRNAs cope with the degeneracy of the genetic code in two manners: having more than one tRNA (with a specific anti-codon) for a particular amino acid; and 'wobble' base-pairing, i.e. permitting non-standard base-pairing at the 3rd anti-codon position. RNAcentral also lists the same sequence under 1 other name. Lineage: Eukaryota; Metazoa; Arthropoda; Insecta; Hymenoptera; Formicidae. The record is from RNAcentral.